CGACUCUCUCGUUCUCCCCACAGCCAAGUCUCCAGCUGGGGUGGACGUGCCCACCAGCCGCCGAAGGCCAGGACGCCAGGUCCGGUGGACGUGACAAGCAGGACGUGACAUGGUCCGGUGUGACGGCGAGGACAGAGGAGGCGCGUCCGGCCUUCCUGAACACCUUAGGCUGGUGGGGCUGCGGCAAGAAGCGGGUCUGUUUCUUUACUUCCUCCACGGAGUCGGCACACUAUGGCUGCCCUCUGGGCUCCCAGAACCCACAACAUGAAAGAAAUGGUGCUACCCAGCUCAAGCCUGGGCCUUUGAAUCCGGACACAAAACCCUCUAGCUUGGAAAUGAAUAUGCUGCACUUUACAACCACUGCACUACCCGACUCAGGAAUCGGCUCUGGAAGGUGAGCACCAGCGCUCCUUCCGGAAGCCUCUAGGCCCCCGAGCACCCUGCCCCCAUCCCACCCACGUGUCGCUAUCUCUAGGUGAAGCUAGAGGAACCAGACCUCAUCAGCCCAACAUCAAAGACACCAUCGGAACAGCAGCGCCCGCAGCACCCACCCCGCACCGGCGACUCCAUCUUCAUGGCCACCCCCUGCGGCGGACGGUUGACCACCAGCCACCACAUCAUCCCAGAGCUGAGCUCCUCCAGCGGGAUGACGCCGUCCCCACCACCUCCCUCUUCUUCUUUUUCAUCCUUCUGUCUCUUUGUUUCUGAGCUUUCCUGUCUUUCCUUUUUUCUGAGAGAUUCAAAGCCUCCACGACUCUGUUUCCCCCGUCCCUUCUGAAUUUAAUUUGCACUAAGUCAUUUGCACUGGUUGGAGUUGUGGAGACGGCCUUGAGUCUUGGUGCGAGUGUGUGUGAGUGUGAGCCACCUUGGCAAGUGCCCGCCCAGGGCCCGGCCGCCCUCCAUCUGGGCCGGGUGACUGGGCGCCGGCUGUGUGCCCGAGGCCUCACCCUGCCCUCGCCUAGUCUGGAAGCUCCGACCGACAUCACGGAGCAGCCUUCAAGCAUUCCAUUACACCCAUCUCGCUCUGUGCCCCUCCCCACCAGGGCUUCAGCAGGAGCCCUGGACUCAUCAUCAAUAAACACUGUUACAGCAACU
This 1095-nucleotide long non-coding RNA is filed under the name Pan troglodytes (chimpanzee). RNAcentral describes it as "long non-coding RNA NONPTRT002931". Lineage: Eukaryota; Metazoa; Chordata; Mammalia; Primates; Hominidae. The record is from RNAcentral.